GAUUUUUGAAUGUUAUAAUUGCUUGAUUGAUUGCUGGUUUAGAUGGUUUUAAUUACUUACUUAAUGUGAUGAUAAUUAAAUGAACUAACAAAUUUUUGCAGCUAAGGGAAACCGUCAAGUAUUAAGGUACACCUUAUACCUUCUGGUUGUGUGAAUGAAAUGAUUAAUUUAGAAAAGCAUGCAAUUAGGUCUAAUUUCUUAUAUGAAAUAUUCUGCAAUUGUGUGGUG
Molecule: long non-coding RNA, 228 nt
Filed under: Gossypium raimondii (Peruvian cotton)
Lineage: Eukaryota; Viridiplantae; Streptophyta; Magnoliopsida; Malvales; Malvaceae
Description: long non-coding RNA (GRAI_LNC010781)
Source: RNAcentral